UACGUAGGUGACCAGCGUUGUCCGGAUUUACUGGGCGUAAAGAGCGCGCAGGCGGUCGUUCAAGUCGAGUGUGAAAGCCCCCGGCUCAACUGGGGAGGGUCACUCGAUACUGAUCGACUUGAAGGCAGGAGAGGGAAGCGGAAUUCCCGGUGUAGUGGUGAAAUGCGUAGAUAUCGGGAGGAACACCAGUGGCGAAGGCGGCUUCCUGGCCUGUUCUUGACGCUGAGGCGCGAAAGCGUGGGGAGCAAACGGG
RNAcentral lists this ribosomal RNA (253 nucleotides) under uncultured bacterium. RNAcentral's name for it is "partial 16S ribosomal RNA". It matches the Rfam family "Bacterial small subunit ribosomal RNA", at positions 524 to 776 of the family's 1533-position model. The record is from RNAcentral.